UCGAGGGGGCUUGCCCCCGUCAAGAUACCACCCUUUGCCUUUGAGUACCUUCUGUUUCCUCGGCAGGCUCGCCUGCCAAUGGGGACCACAACCAAACCUUUUUGUAUCUGUAGUAAACGUUUUACAAAAUAAAAAAUCAAAACUUUCAACAACGGAUCUCUUGGUUCUGGCAUCGAUGAAGAACGCAGCGAAAUGCGAUAAGUAGUGUGAAUUGCAGAAUUCAGUGAAUCAUCGAAUCUUUGAACGCACAUUGCGCCCUUUGGUAUUCCUUAGGGCAUGCCUGUUCGAGCGUCAUCUAACCCUUCAAGCACUGCUUGGUGUUGGGCGUUUGUCCCGCCUUGGGCGCGGACUCGCCUCAAAGACAUUGGCGGCCUGUGUAUUGGCUUCGAGCGCAGCAG
This 398-nucleotide unclassified non-coding RNA is filed under the name Hermatomyces sphaericus. Its description in RNAcentral is "sequence contains ITS1, 5.8S rRNA gene, ITS2". The stretch from base 141 to 294 matches the Rfam family "5.8S ribosomal RNA". Lineage: Eukaryota; Fungi; Ascomycota; Dothideomycetes; Pleosporales; Hermatomycetaceae. The record is from RNAcentral.